GUCGAGAAUCUUUCACAAUGGGGGCAACCCUGAUGGAGCGACGCCGCGUGGAGGAUAAGGUCUUCGGAUUGUAAACUCCUGUCAUGCGUGAACAAGGUUGCUUGGUUAAUACCUGGGCAAAUUGAUGGUAACGCAAGAGGAAGAGACGGCUAACUCUGUGCCAGCAGCCGCGGUAAUACAGAGGUCUCAAGCGUUGUUCGGAAUCACUGGGCGUAAAGGGUGCGUAGGUGGCGUGGUAAGUCAGAUGUGAAAGCCCGGGGCUCAACCUCGGAACUGCAUCCGAUACUGCCAUGCUAGAGUACUGGAGAGGUGACUAGAAUUCUCGGUGUAGCAGUGAAAUGCGUAGAUAUCGAGAGGAAUAGCAAAGGCGUAGGCAGGUCACUGGACAGUUACUGACACUGAGGCACGAAGGCCAGGAGAGCGAACGGGAUUAGAUACCCUAAGUCC
RNAcentral lists this ribosomal RNA (447 nucleotides) under uncultured bacterium. RNAcentral's name for it is "partial 16S ribosomal RNA". It matches the Rfam family "Bacterial small subunit ribosomal RNA", at positions 354 to 796 of the family's 1533-position model. The record is from RNAcentral.